GAAUGCUAAAAGAAUGGAAAAUUAAAAAAAAACUUUUUUAAAAAUAAAAAUUGAAUUUUUUUUAAUUUGUGCAAAAACAAUUAUAUUUAUUAAAGACAAGAAGACCCUAAGAAUUUAAGAUUUUACAAUUAAAAAGUUUUUUUUUAAAAUCUUGAUUGGGGCGAUCAAAAAAUAUUAAUAACUUUUUAAAAUUUAAAUUGAUCUAUUAUUAAUAAACUAAUGAAUUAAAUACUCUAGGGAUAACAGCGUAAUAAUUUUUGAUAGAUCUUAUUGACAAAAUAGUUUGCGACCUCGAUGUUGGAUUAGGAUUCUUUUUUAAUGAAGAAGUUAAAAAAAGAAGUUUGUUCAACUUUUAAAUUCCUACUUGAUCUGAGUUCAGACCG
This 383-nucleotide ribosomal RNA is filed under the name Hyalomma rufipes. RNAcentral's name for it is "partial large subunit ribosomal RNA". The stretch from base 239 to 383 matches the Rfam family "Bacterial large subunit ribosomal RNA", at positions 2473 to 2618 of the family's 2925-position model. The record is from RNAcentral. Lineage: Eukaryota; Metazoa; Arthropoda; Arachnida; Ixodida; Ixodidae.